Molecule: long non-coding RNA, 1614 nt
Filed under: Olea europaea subsp. europaea
Lineage: Eukaryota; Viridiplantae; Streptophyta; Magnoliopsida; Lamiales; Oleaceae
Source: RNAcentral
CCCUAGGUUAAUAUUUUCUUAGUCUAAAUCGAAUACGCCUCUUCAAAAGACUCAUAUUUGAGUCAUAUUCCUAACAAUCUCUACCUUGACUCAAAUUUCAGUGCCACGAAUGAAACUCCUAGAUUUCAAAUUCAUCUGUAUCGAAAUUAACUGGCCGAAUCUCCUCAACACAGAAACCACUCCAUAUAAACCAAACACUUGUCCUCUACCCAGUGUCCACAACCGACACCCGAACCCAAUCCCUGGGGUUCCCAAUUCUACCAAGGAAUUAAUGUUGAUUACAUAGGGCCGAAGCACACCUUAUAGCAAAAAUCAAACCAGAUGCUUGAUUAGAAGGCCUCUUUCUGGAACUGUCGCCUUCAACGUCUCUAGAAACAUCCCAAAAAUUGCCGACACCAUGGUACCUACGCUCGAUGAGUCUUAUCCCAACAACUGAACACGGUGUACUCGCUGAAAUUGGUGGCAAAGCGAAAUCACCAACGCUCUCCUAGCAUUGUUUUGAAUCGACUCAGAGCCCAACACAAGAGGUACUGUACCAAAUUGAACUUCCACCACAGUACUGAACUAGUCCAAAUGUCUCCUCUUAACUGGUUCUACACUUCCUUGCAAAAUGUACAACUGUGAUCUUUUUCGUCCCUCUAGUACAACUCGAACUCCCUUUUGGACCUUCAAGACUCUACCUCCUCCAGAGAAUUUAUACCCUUUUGCAUUCAGGGUACUUAGCAAAAUGAGAUUCCUUUUCAGGUCAGGAGCAUGUCGAACUUGAUCAAUUGUUCUAAAUGUUCCAUCCCCCAGCCUCAAUCUGACUCGACCGAUCCCAACAAUAUUGCAAGAUUGGUUGUUUCCCAUUAGAACUCCACCUUACUGAACAGCCUCAUAUGUCUGAAAUAAAUUCCUAUCGGAACACAUAUGGUGUGAACAUGCUGAAUCAAGAAUCCACUCCUCGUCAAGCCUAGAUUCAACAUCAGAUACCACGAUCAACAUCACCUCUUCGUCAUUUGAACAAUUCUCAACUACAUUGAUUUCAUCUGAAUUCAAAGGUUGCACCUCACGAUUUACAGCUAAAUCGCUUUUAGCUUGCAACAUAUCGCAAUCCUUCCGAAUAUGUCCCUUCCUUUUGCAGUAGUAAUAGGUCACAUUACUAAAUCUAACUCUUCGUCGAUCACCUUGAGAUACAAGAGCUUCCCAUCCUUUGAUGUAGCUCAAACGAAAUACUUCAUUUUCUCCUUUGAGUAUAAAGCAUCAUAGACAUCUUCUAUAGUCAAAGUAUUUCGAUUAUACACGAUAGUAUUUCGAAACGACGCAUAAGAUCUAGGCAGUGAACAAAACAGGAUCAGGGCAAGAUCCUCUUCAUCGUACUUAACCUCCAACAUCUCCAGAUCUGUAACUAUUUUCUUGAACACGACAACAUGGUCUUCCAACGACUCUCCUUCCGCCAUGCAAUGUGAAUACAGCUUCUACUUGAGAGCCGGUUUACUUGUAAGACUUUUAGUUAUACACAACUGCUCCAACUUCAACCACAAAGCAGCCGCUGUUUUCUCCUUCAAAACAUCAUGUAGAAUAUUGUUGGACAUAUGAAGAUAAAUCAAUGAAAUAGCCUUCCGAUCCUUCCGU